This 1278-nucleotide long non-coding RNA is filed under the name Olea europaea (common olive). RNAcentral's name for it is "long non-coding RNA (OEUR_LNC010782)". The record is from RNAcentral. Lineage: Eukaryota; Viridiplantae; Streptophyta; Magnoliopsida; Lamiales; Oleaceae.
AAACUUGUCUUUCCAAAAUUCACACGCCGUUCACCGGUGCAUUGCUCUUGUGGAACUUUUGUUCAUUAACCAAUCAGUUGCAAAUUUAUAUCCAUCUCCGAUGACGUCUUGUGAGGCGAAAGCUGCAGCUAAGUUUGGGUAAGUUUUCUGUUUUGGUAACUUGGGUGCGUUAAUGGGGUUUAGAAGGCUUUGAUAACCCCGACUUUGAUAUGCUACUUCAACUUUCGCAAUGAACAAUUUAUAUCCAGAAUAAGCUGUCGAAGAAGUGAGAUAUCUUGUUCACAUAAAUGAGGUGUUAUCAGCAAGUACCUUAUCCUGGUUUAAGGCAGGAAUUGAUAGGAGUAGAGUUGAAUAUCUAUUCAUCGUAAAUUGACUGUGUACAUGGAAGAUAUCUUUAUAAUGCUUGAAUUUGAAAUGAUGGAAAAAGAAAAAAAAAGUUUAGAAGCACAAUUUCUCGUGUUCUGACCAUUUGUAGCAUAGCUAUUUAUGUUCUAGUGAAAAAAAAAAUUGAAAUGCUUCAAAAAAAAAAAUCUUUGAUUUUAUAGCGAAAAUCAUACAACAUGUUUAAUCUUGCUAAGAAAAUUCAUUGUGAGAAUAUUUGUAACAUUUUGUCACACCUAUCAAGCUAUUACUUCGCAUAUCUUAGUGCACUGUAUUAAUUUAGAUUAAUGUGGUUGGUUUACAUCUCAGAAUGACAGGAAAGAAUCAUGGAGUGUGUCAUAGCAAUAGGUGAAGGGGCACAUCUUUGCAGAUUGCCCGAAGAAACGCUUAUGCCAGCGGUGUAAACAUGUGUUUGUAAAGUGUUUUGAGAUGGAGAAGGAGUCUUCAAACAAAGAAAAGUUGUUCAAUGGCUGCGGUGGCAAAUGCGGUUUUUGGGAAUGGGUUGGAGAAGGUGAAUACAACUGUGAAUUAAGUAUAGAUAGUGCGACGUCAACUAAUGCUGCAAUGAACGAAUCAGUUGCAGAUGUUACCGGCAUGUUCGAAUCCAGUCUUUGCUUAAACAAUGAGCAAGAGUUUAAACUUUCUGUCAAGGUGACAAUCUGCAAGAAUAAAGCAACUGCGGAAGUCGAUAACAAAGGGGAAGGCCCAGGCUUAAGUAUUAUGGAUUUGCGGUAAUUGUUAUGUAACUUUCGAAGAUAGUGCACUUGUAUAGUGCUAACUAUGUGGGAUUAUAAAAAUAUUGUCAAUGUCUGUUGAAGAUACUGUACUAGAAUACUCAUAACUAUGUGGGAAUGUAAAAAUAUUGUCAAUAGCUUGAUAGCGGUUCACACGAACUGC